RNAcentral lists this ribosomal RNA (1452 nucleotides) under uncultured organism. RNAcentral describes it as "16S ribosomal RNA". It matches the Rfam family "Bacterial small subunit ribosomal RNA". The record is from RNAcentral.
AUUGAACGCUGGCGGCAGGCCUAACACAUGCAAGUCGAACGGUAACAGGAAACAGCUUGCUGUUUCGCUGACGAGUGGCGGACGGGUGAGUAAUGUCUGGGAAACUGCCUGAUGGAGGGGGAUAACUACUGGAAACGGUAGCUAAUACCGCAUAACGUCGCAAGACCAAAGAGGGGGACCUUCGGGCCUCUUGCCAUCGGAUGUGCCCAGAUGGGAUUAGCUAGUAGGUGGGGUAACGGCUCACCUAGGCGACGAUCCCUAGCUGGUCUGAGAGGAUGACCAGCCACACUGGAACUGAGACACGGUCCAGACUCCUACGGGAGGCAGCAGUGGGGAAUAUUGCACAAUGGGCGCAAGCCUGAUGCAGCCAUGCCGCGUGUAUGAAGAAGGCCUUCGGGUUGUAAAGUACUUUCAGCGGGGAGGAAGGGAGUAAAGUUAAUACCUUUGCUCAUUGACGUUACCCGCAGAAGAAGCACCGGCUAACUCCGUGCCAGCAGCCGCGGUAAUACGGAGGGUGCAAGCGUUAAUCGGAAUUACUGGGCGUAAAGCGCACGCAGGCGGUUUGUUAAGUCAGAUGUGAAAUCCCCGGGCUCAACCUGGGAACUGCAUCUGAUACUGGCAAGCUUGAGUCUCGUAGAGGGGGGUAGAAUUCCAGGUGUAGCGGUGAAAUGCGUAGAGAUCUGGAGGAAUACCGGUGGCGAAGGCGGCCCCCUGGACGAAGACUGACGCUCAGGUGGGAAAGCGUGGGGGAGCAAACAGGAUUAGAUACCCUGGUAGUUCACGCUGUAAACGAUGUCGACUUGGAGGUUGUGCCCUUGAGGCGUGGCUUCCGGAGCUAACGCGUUAAGUCGACCGCCUGGGGAGUACGGCCGCAAGGUUAAAACUCAAAUGAAUUGACGGGGGCCCGCACAAGCGGUGGAGCAUGUGGUUUAAUUCGAUGCAACGCGAAGAACCUUACCUGGUCUUGACAUCCACGGAAGUUUUCAGAGAUGAGAAUGUGCCUUCGGGAACCGUGAGACAGGUGCUGCAUGGCUGUCGUCAGCUCGUGUUGUGAAAUGUUGGGUUAAGUCCCGCAACGAGCGCAACCCUUAUCCUUUGUUGCCAGCGGUCCGGCCGGGAACUCAAAGGAGACUGCCAGUGAUAAACUGGAGGAAGGUGGGGAUGACGUCAAGUCAUCAUGGCCCUUACGACCAGGGCUACACACGUGCUACAAUGGCGCAUACAAAGAGAAGCGACCUCGCGAGAGCAAGCGGACCUCAUAAAGUGCGUCGUAGUCCGGAUUGGAGUCUGCAACUCGACUCCAUGAAGUCGGAAUCGCUAGUAAUCGUGGAUCAGAAUGCCACGGUGAAUACGUUCCCGGGCCUUGUACACACCGCCCGUCACACCAUGGGAGUGGGUUGCAAAAGAAGUAGGUAGCUUAACCUUCGGGAGGGCGCUUACCACUUUGUGAUU